RNAcentral lists this long non-coding RNA (5757 nucleotides) under Solanum tuberosum (potato). RNAcentral's name for it is "long non-coding RNA (STUB_LNC003301)". The record is from RNAcentral. Lineage: Eukaryota; Viridiplantae; Streptophyta; Magnoliopsida; Solanales; Solanaceae.
CCUUUUUGGAUGUCUCCUCUUCAAGUGCUGGUUUCUCUUCAAAUAAUAGUUCGUUAGGUGUUUCUUCCCGUUUUGGUUCUUCAGGUGCUUCUUCAGUUAUUGGUUUUGCAGCUUUCUCCUCAAUUGUCUCCUCAACCAAUGGUUCUUCAAGCUUCUCUUCCAUUGUUGUUUCUUUAGGUUUCUCUUCAAUUGCCGGUGGUUCAGGUUUUUUCUCAUCCACUGGUUCUUCUGGCUUCUCUGAAACUGCUGUUUCUUCUGAUUUCUCUUCAAUUGCUUGUUCUUCAUGUUUUUUUUCAACUACUGGCUCUUCAGUUUUUUCCUCAACUGAUGCAUAGUCAGCAAUGUCGUUGGUAUUGCAUGGAAUUGCAUUGUCUGUCUUGUCCUUUGAGUUUACAAUUGGCAAAUUAUGCAAGAAAAUUUUAAGUUUCAUUUAGUCUUUCAACAGAUAAACUUAUGUAAAUUCGUUGCACAUAUAAAGCUAAUAUGAUGGAUAGUUUUUAUGACAGUGUUUAUUUGUCACCUUCUCCUGAAGAGCUUCUGUUUCAGGUUCUUCCUCUUCAAUUGCUGGUUUUUCAUCUUUCUUUUCAACAACUAGUUCUUCAGAUGUGUCUUCAACUGUUGGUUCUUCAGGUUUCUCUUCAAGAGCUAGUUCUUCAGGUGUUUCCUCCCCUGCAAGCUCUUCAGGUGUUUCUAUAGUCGCCGGUUCUUCAGGUUUCUCUGUAAUCUCUAGUUCAGGUUUCUCCUCAACUGGUACUUCAGAUUUCUCCUCAAAUGUUGGUUCUUCAGGUUUCUCCUUAAUAGCUGGUACACCAGGUUUCUCUUCAAUGAGUGGUUCUUCAGUUUUUUCUUCAACUGCCGAUUCUUCAGGAUUUUCCUCACUGUCUGGAGAGUGUGCAACAUCAUUAUUGGUAUUGCAUGGGAUUUCACUGCCAGUUUUUUCGUUCGAGUCUACAAUUAGCAUAUUCUGCAAAAAGAAUUUAAUGUUUCACUUAGCCUUUCAAUAAAGAUGCAGAUGUGAAUCAUAGUACAUACAUAACUAACAAAAUGGAUAAACUUUGUGAUAGUGCUUGACCCUUACCUUUUCCAAAAGAGUUACCUUUUCAGGUUUCUCCUCUUCCAUGGCUGGUUCUUCAUGUAUCUCUUCAAAUGCUAGUUCCUUAGGUGUUUCUUCAAUUACUUGUUUUUCAGGUUUCUCCUCAAUUUUUGGUUCUUUGAUUGUCUCCUCAACUGAUGGUACUUCAAGCUUUUCUCCCACGGUUGGUUUUUCAGGUUUCUCUUCAACUGUCGGUUGUUCAGGUAUUUUCUCAACCGCUGGUUCUUCUGGUUUCCCCGAAACCCUUGAUUCUUCAGAUUUUUCUUCAAUUGCUGAUUCUUCAGAUAUCUCUUCAACUAUUGCUUCUUCAGUUUUUUCCUCAACUGAUGCAUAGUCAGCAAUGUCAUUGUUGGUAUUGCAUGGAAUUGCAUUGUCUAUUGUGUUCUUUGAGUUUACAAUUGGAAAAUUCUGCAAGAAAAUUUAAAGUUUCAUCUAGUCUUUCAAUAGAUAAACAUGUAAAUGCGUUGCACAUAUAAAGCUAAUAUGCUGAAUAAACUUUGUGAGAGUUAAUUCUCACCUUCUCCUUAAGAGCUUCCAUUUCAGGUUCCUCCUCUUCAAUUGCUGUUUUUUCAACUUUCUCUUCAACAACUAGCUCUUCAGAUGUAUCUUCAACCGUUGGUUCUUCAGGUUUCUCUUCAAGUGCUAGUUCUUCAGGUGUUUCUAUUGCUGCCGGUUCUUGAGGUUUCUCUUCAGUCUCUGGUUCUUGAGGUUUCUCCUCAGCUGGUACUUCAGAUUUCUCCUCAAAUGUUGGUUUCUCCUCAACUGCUGGUACAUCAGGUUUCUCUUCAAUGACUAGUUCUUCAUUUUUUAUUUCAACUGCCGGUUCUUCAGAAUUUUCCUCAAUGUCUGGAGAGUGAGCAACAUCAUUAUUGGUAUUGCAUGGAAUUUCACUGCCAGUUUUGGUGUUCGAGUCUACAAUUAGCAUAUUCUGCAAAAAGACUUUAAUGUUUCACUUAGCCUUUCAAAAGAAGAGCAUGUGAAUCACUGUACAUGCAUAACUAACAAAAUGGAUAUACUUUGUGAUAGUACUUGACCCUUACCUUUUCCAAAAGAGUUACCUUUUCAGGUUUCUCCUCUUUCAUUGCUGGCUCUUUAUGUAUCUCUUCUAAUGCUAGUUCCUUGGGUGUUUCUUCAGUUACUUGUUUAUCAGGUUUCUCCUCAAUUUUUGGUUCUUUGAUCGUCUCCUCAACUGAUGGUUCUUCAAGCUUUUCUCCCACUGUUGGUGUUUCAGGUUUCUCUUCGAUUGUCGGUUGUUCAGGUAUUUUCUCAACCGGUGGUUCUUCUGGUUUCUCCAAAACCCUUGAUUCUUCAGAUUUCUCUUCAAUAGCUGAUUCUUCAGAUAUCUCUUCAACUUCUGGUUCUUCAGUAUUUUCCUCAACUGAUGCAUAGUCAGCAAUGUCAUUGUUGGUAUUGCAUGGAAUUGCAUUGUCUGUUGUGUUCUUUGAGUUUACAAUUGGCAAAUUCUGCAAGAAAAUUUGAAGUUCCAUUUAGUCUUUCAAUAGAUGAAACAUAUUUAAAUUCAUUGCACUUAUAAAGUUAAUAUGCUGAAUAAACUUUGUGACAGUGUUAAUUGUCACCUUCUCCUGAAGAGCUUCCGUUUCAGGUUCCUCCUCUUCAAUUGCUGGUUUUUCAUCUUUCUCUUCAACAACUAGCCCUUCAGAUGUAUCUUCAACUGUUAGUUCUUCAGGUUUCCCUUCAAGUGCUAGUUCUUCAGCUGUUUCUAUAGCUGCUGGUUUUUCAGGUUUCUCUUCAGUUGCCGGUUCUUGAGGUUUCUCCUCAGCUGGUACUUCAGAUUUCUCCUCAAAUUUUGGUUCUUCAGGUUUCUCCUCAACUGCUGGUACAUCAGGUUUCUCUUCAAUGACUGGUUCUUCAUUUUUUAUUUCAACUGCCGAUUCUUCAGGAUUUUCCUCGAUGUCUGGAGAGUGAGCAACAUCAUUAUUGGUAUUGCAUGGAAUUUCACUGCCAGUUUUGGUGUUCGAGUCUACAAUUAGCAUAUCCUGCAAAAAGAAUUUAAUGUUUCACCUAGCCUUUCAAAAAAAGAUCAUGUGAAUCACAGUACAUGCAUAACUAACAAAAUGGAUAAACUUUGUUAUUAUACUUGACCCUUACCUUUUCCGAAAGAGUUACCUUUUCAUGUUUCUCCUCUUCAACGGUUGGUUCGUCAUGUUUCUCUUCAAAUGAUAGUUCCUUAGGUGUUCCUUCAGGUUUCUCCUCAAUUGUUGGUUCUUUGGUUGUCUCUCCAACCAAUGGUUCUUCAAGCUUUUCUCCUCCAACUGUUGGGUUUUCAGGUUUCUCUUCAAUUGUCGGCUGUUUAGGUAUUUUCUCAACCUCUGGUUCUUCUGGUUUCUCCAAAACCCUUGAUUCUUCAGACUUCUCUUCAAUAGCUGAUUCUUCAGAUUUCUCUUCAACUACUGGUUCUUCAGUUUUUUCCUCAACUAAUGCAUAGUUAGCAAUGUCAUUGUUGGUAUUGCAUGGAAUUGCAUUGUCUGUAUUGUCCUCUGCGUUUACAAUCGGCAAUUUCUGCAAGAAAAUUUAAAGUUUCAUUUUGUCUUUAAAUAGAUAAACAUAUAUUAAUUCGUUGCACAUAUAAAGCUUAUAUGGUGGAUUAACUUUGUGACAGUAUUUAAUCCUCACCUUCUCCUGAAGAGCUUUCCUAACAAGUUCCUCCUCUUCAAUAGCUGUUUCUUCAUCUUUCUCUUCAAGAACUAGUUCUUCAGGUGUCUCUUCAAGUGCUAGUUCUUCAGGUGCUUCCUCCUUUGCUAGCUCUUCAGCUGUUUCUUUAGCUGCCGCUUCUUCAGGUCUCUCUUUAGACGCCGGUUCUUGAGGUUUCUCCUCAACCAGUACUUCAGAUUUCUCCUCAAAUGUUGGUUCUUCAGGUUUCUCCUUAACUGCUGGUACAUCAGGUUUCUGUUCAAUGACUGAUUCUUCAGUUUUUUCUUCAACUGCCGACACUUCAGGAUUUUCCUCAAUGUCUGGAAAGUGAGCAACAUCAUUACCGGUAUUGCAUGGAAUUUCACUACCAGUUUUGUCGUUCAAGUCUACAAUUAGCAUAGUCUGCAAAAUGAAGUGAAUGUUUACUUUGCCUUCCAAUAAAGAAGCAGAUGUGAAUCACAGUACAUACAUGACUUAAACUUUGUGAUAGUGCUUGACCCUUACUUUUUCAGGUUUCUCCUCUUCAACGGCUGGUUCUUCAUGUUUCUCUCCAACUGCUGGUUUUUCAGGUUUCUCUUCAACUGUCGGUUGUUCAGUUUUUUUCUCAACCACUAGUUCUUCAAGCUUCUCCGAAACAACUGAUUCUUCAGAUUUAUCUUCAAUUGCUAAUUCUUCAUGUGUUUUUCCAACUACUGGUUCGUUAGGUUUUUCCUCAACUGAUGCAUAGUUAGCAAUAUCAUUAUUGGUGGUAUUGCAUGGAAUUGCAUCGUCUAUCUUGUCCUUUGAGUCUACAAUUGGCAAAUUCUGCAAGAAAAUUGAAGUUUCACUUAGUCUUUUGACAGAUAAACAGAUGUAAAUUCAUUGCACAUAUAAAGCUAAUAUGAUGGAUAGACUUUGUGGUAGUGUUUAAUCUUCACCUUCUCCAGAAGCCCUUCUGUUAAAGGUUUCUCCUCCUCCAUUACUGCUGGUUUUUCAGGUAUGUCUUCAACCAUUGGUUCUUCAGGUUUCUCUUCAAAUGCUAGUUCUUCAUGUGUUUCCUCCCCUGCUAGCUCUUCAUGUGUUUCUUUCGCUGUCGGUUCCUUAGGUUUCUUUUCAGCCGCUGGUUCUUCAGGUUUCUCCUCAACCGUUGGUUCUUCAGGUUUCUCUUUAAUCUCUGAUACAUCACGUUUCUCUUCAAAAACUGGGUUUUCUGGUUUUUCUUCAACUGCUGGUUCUUCGGUUAUUUUCUCAGUUUUUGGAUAGUGAGCAGCAUCGUUGUUGGUAUUGCAUGGAAUUUCACUAUCAGUGUUGUCCUUAGAGUCUACAACUAGCAUUUUCUGCAAGAAGAAUUUAAAGUUUCUCUUAGUCUUUCAAGAGAUAACCAGACAUGAAUUGUUGGACAUACAUAACUAAUAGGAUGGAUAAACUUCUUGAUAAUACUUGACCCUCACCUUUUCCAAAAGAGAUACUUUUUUGGGUUUCUCCUCUUCAACUGCUGGUUUCUCUUCAAAUGCUAGUUCAUUUUGUUCCUGUGUUGGUUCUUCAGGUGUUUCUUCAGUUAUUGGGUUUUCAGGUUUCUCUUCAAAUGCUUGUUCAUUUGGUGUUUCUUCCUGUGUUGGUUCUUCAGGUGCUUCUUCAGUUACUGGUUUUUCAGGUUUAUCUUCAACUGCUGGUUCUUCUAGUGUCUCCUCAAUCGAUGGUUCUUCAAGUUCCUCUCUUGCUACUGGUUUUUCAGAUUUCUCUUCAACUGCUGGUUGUUCAGGUUUUUUCAUAACCACUGACUCUUCAGAUCUCUCUUCAAUUGCUGGUUCUUCAGUUUUUUCCUCAACUGAUUCAUAAUCGGCAAUAGCAUUGUUGGUAAUGCAUUGAAUUGCAUUGUCUGUCUUGUUCUUUGACUUUUCAAUUGGUGAAUUCUGCAAAAAUAAAUAAAUUGAAGUUUCAUUUAGUCUUUCAAUGGAUAAAACAGAUGUAAAUUCGUUACGCAUAUAAAGCUAAUAUGAUGGAUAAACUUUGUGAAAGUGUUUAAUCCUCAC